This 507-nucleotide ribosomal RNA is filed under the name uncultured bacterium. RNAcentral's name for it is "partial 16S ribosomal RNA". It matches the Rfam family "Bacterial small subunit ribosomal RNA", at positions 28 to 506 of the family's 1533-position model. The record is from RNAcentral.
GACGAACGCUGGCGGCGUGCCUAAUACAUGCAAGUCGAACGCUUCUUUCCUCCCGAGUGCUUGCACUCAAUUGGAAAGAGGAGUGGCGGACGGGUGAGUAACACGUGGGUAACCUACCCAUCAGAGGGGGAUAACACUUGGAAACAGGUGCUAAUACCGCAUAACAGUUUAUGCCGCAUGGCAUAAGAGUGAAAGGCGCUUUCGGGUGUCGCUGAUGGAUGGACCCGCGGUGCAUUAGCUAGUUGGUGAGGUAACGGCUCACCAAGGCCACGAUGCAUAGCCGACCUGGGGGGGGGAUCGGCCAACCUGGGAUGGAAAAACGGCCCAGCCCCCUACGGGAGGCAGCAGGAGGGAAUCUUCGGAAAUGGACGAAAGUCUGACCGAGCAACGCAACGGGAGUGAAGAAGGGUUUCGGAUCGUAAAACCCUGUUGUUAGAAAAGAACAAGGACGUUAGUAACUGAACGUCCCCUGACGGUAUCUAACCAGAAAGAAACGGCUAACUACGU